This 318-nucleotide ribosomal RNA is filed under the name Klebsiella pneumoniae. RNAcentral describes it as "bacterial LSU rRNA". It matches the Rfam family "Bacterial large subunit ribosomal RNA", at positions 357 to 683 of the family's 2925-position model. Lineage: Bacteria; Pseudomonadati; Pseudomonadota; Gammaproteobacteria; Enterobacterales; Enterobacteriaceae. The record is from RNAcentral.
GUACAGGGUGAUAGUCCCGUACACCAAAAUGCACAGGCUGUGAACUCGAAGAGUAGGGCGGGACACGUGGUAUCCUGUCUGAAUAUGGGGGGACCAUCCUCCAAGGCUAAAUACUCCUGACUGACCGAUAGUGAACCAGUACCGUGAGGGAAAGGCGAAAGAACCCCGGCGAGGGGAGUGAAAAAGAACCUGAAACCGUGUACGUACAAGCAGUGGGAGCACCUUCGGGUGUGACUGCGUACCUUUUGUAUAAUGGGUCAGCGACUUAUAUUCUGUAGCAAGGUUAACCGUAUAGGGGAGCCGCAGGGAAACCGAGUC